UACGAAGGGGGCUAGCGUUGUUCGGAAUCACUGGGCGUAAAGCGCACGUAGGCGGAUCUUUAAGUCAGGGGUGAAAUCCCAGAGCUCAACUCUGGAACUGCCUUUGAUACUGGGGAUCUCGAGUUCGGGAGAGGUGAGUGGAACUGCGAGUGUAGAGGUGAAAUUCGUAGAUAUUCGCAAGAACACCGGUGGCGAAGGCGGCUCACUGGCCCGAUACUGACGCUGAGGUGCGAAAGCGUGGGGAGCAAACAGG
This 253-nucleotide ribosomal RNA is filed under the name uncultured bacterium. RNAcentral describes it as "partial 16S ribosomal RNA". It matches the Rfam family "Bacterial small subunit ribosomal RNA", at positions 524 to 776 of the family's 1533-position model. The record is from RNAcentral.